GUUAGGAAUCUUCCACAAUGGGGGCAACCCUGAUGGAGCAACACCGCAUGCUGGAUGAAGGCCUUCGGGUCGUAAACAGCUUUUGUAUACGAAGAAUAUGACGGUAAUAUACGAAUAAGGGUCGGCUAACUACGUGCCAGCAGCCGCGGUCAUACGUAGGACCCAAGCGUUAUCCGGAGUGACUGGGCGUAAAGAGUUGCGUAGGCGGCUUAUUAAGCGAGUAGUGAAAUCUGGUGGCUCAACCAUCAACAAAUUGCUCGAACUGAUAGGCUUGAGAAUGGUAGAGGUAGUUGGAAUUUCUUGUGUAGGAGUGAAAUCCGUAGAUAUAAGAAGGAACACCAAUGGCGUAGGCAGACUACUGGACCAUUUCUGACGCUGAGGCACGAAAGCGUGGGGAGCGAACCGGAUUAGAUACCCGAGUAGUCC
Molecule: ribosomal RNA, 426 nt
Filed under: uncultured bacterium
Lineage: Bacteria
Description: partial 16S ribosomal RNA
Rfam family: Bacterial small subunit ribosomal RNA
Source: RNAcentral